UGCUUCUGUAAAAGUGCUUGCUCAUCGCUUGGGCUAACUAGCUACUUUCGCUUCUGUUUGAAUGCUUGUUUGAUGGCGCUCGCGGGCUCCCAACACCAAUCAACCAACACCAGAUUUGCCUAUUCUGGAAAUUUCAUGUAUAUUGAAUGAUGGAGCAUAUGGAUUUGUGUCAGCUUCUUCCACUGAGCAUACUGUUUUCAAGGUUCAUCCAUGCACGUACGUGAACUUGUGUGUGAAGAGCCUGGGUGUGUCUUAUCUAAUUCAUAUGAAGGUAAGACUAAAAGUCUUUAUGACUUAACAUGUGUAUUUAGUAAUAUUUAAGCAACUUCUUUAA
Molecule: long non-coding RNA, 334 nt
Filed under: Mustela putorius furo (domestic ferret)
Lineage: Eukaryota; Metazoa; Chordata; Mammalia; Carnivora; Mustelidae
Description: lncRNA (ENSMPUG00000025155.1)
Source: RNAcentral